RNAcentral lists this transfer RNA (76 nucleotides) under Hufsiella arboris. Its description in RNAcentral is "tRNA-Lys". It matches the Rfam family "tRNA". Rfam says of the family: Transfer RNA (tRNA) molecules are approximately 80 nucleotides in length. The record is from RNAcentral. Lineage: Bacteria; Pseudomonadati; Bacteroidota; Sphingobacteriia; Sphingobacteriales; Sphingobacteriaceae.
GACUUGGUAGCUCAGUUGGUAGAGCAACUGACUCUUAAUCAGUGGGUCGAGAGUUCGAGCCUCUCCCAGGUCACCA